CCCAACCUGUACUGUGUAUUACUGCUGUAUUUAAAAGAUGGAAGUUACGUUUCUGAUGUAACGGGCCAGCUGACCAAAGUUGGUAACCCCGCCAUUCUCCUACCGUCGAAAGGUUCCUUUUGUAAAGACCCACUGUACGUGUCAUUCAAUCAAGUAAUUGGAGCCAUUUCACUGCCACGCCCUUCCUGAAGGGCCCUAGCUUCACUUCUAAAACGCCCAUCUACUAUACAUUUACAGCAGUGCGUGGUUGACUUCCUCGUGAAACAGCGCCCUCUUCAGAUGCCUCAGGUAACAGGCCCUGAUUCGCCCACGUCCUCCAGCUGGAGGAAGAACCUCUGAAGCAGAUGCUCUUGUUCUUUCUCAUCUUCUCGGACCACAUGCGGCGGCGACACGACACUCAGCAUUUGCGAGAGCAGGCACUGCAUUCACGCCGAGAAGCGGGGACUGUGGCGCAUUAGUAUGCGGCCUGCGUCAGCCGGGCCGAGGCCCUUUUGCGAUGGCGCUGCAUGCGGCAGCUUAUUUACCGGCUGCUUGCCUCCUUCCCCUGCUUAUCAGCACGCAUUUCUAAAUGUUGCGGGACACUGCGCCUAAAAUAGCUGCCUGCCAUCGAACUGUCUGCAGCAGGUUUCCUGUUUGCAGGAGCUUGGUUCGGGCUGCAGGGAUCUUAAAGCUUUCGCUGUCUCACUGUCUCACCCAUCCUCUUCCUCUCGUUUGGCGUGUAGGUCUUUUUACUGGGACAGCCACAGUCUUCCUCUCUCUGCGGGGAGGUGCUGGGAAACCAUAAAAAAAAUGUUUGUUUUCUCUCGGUCCAAUUUCGGAGCGGUAUAACAUUAUCUGUUUUUCCCACAUCUUUCAGACAGGAUAAUGGACCCCUGCCUCUGUUUUCAAAGCUCCUUUUUUGGCAUGGUCCUCGCAGCGCGGAUCUGAGCCCCUGAGAGGCAGAGCAACGUCACGGGACCGGCUCUGGGUGGUUGGUGACAUUUCCAUGGCAACUGAUCACCAUCCUCUGUGCCCACAGAUGCCUGUGCUAAUGAAACCCAGCUGGCUCUGAUUGGACUAAUUAGCUUGUUAGGGGCUUGUAAAGGCUGAGCCAAAUGGGGAGGUAGCCUUGUUCAACAUGUACACUGGUUUUGGGUUUCAAAAGAUCCAUUGCAGUCUUUUCAAUUUCCUGUUUUUCUUGAUCAGACCUCUUCCCAAUUUUAUGUAAUUUUUUCAGCAAUAAACUACUUUUUUGUUAAAUUCUGUUGCCCUGCCUUUUGGUAAAACCUCCACCCCAAUGUUCAAUACUGGUAAUGAUUUUUAAGGUAAAGUUUGAAAUUUUGGCUCCAUUUCCUUUUCCAUACAGAAUAAAUCAAUUCAAUGAGAAUGAAUCACUCAGACUCAUUCAUUCUCUUUGUUAGCU
Paramormyrops kingsleyae is the source of this 1402-nucleotide long non-coding RNA. RefSeq lists it as uncharacterized. The record is from RefSeq and is a predicted model, not a curated record. NCBI's taxonomy places the organism in Eukaryota, Metazoa, Chordata, Actinopteri, Osteoglossiformes, Mormyridae.